CCACUGAUAGUACCGCUUGAGGUC
This 24-nucleotide non-coding RNA is filed under the name Arabidopsis thaliana (thale cress). The record is from RNAcentral. Lineage: Eukaryota; Viridiplantae; Streptophyta; Magnoliopsida; Brassicales; Brassicaceae.